This is a long non-coding RNA of Alligator sinensis (Chinese alligator), 94 nucleotides long. RefSeq lists it as uncharacterized. Lineage: Eukaryota; Metazoa; Chordata; Crocodylia; Alligatoridae. The record is from RefSeq and is a predicted model, not a curated record. The transcript has 3 exons.
UCCAUCCACCACCCAAGAGCUCAUUACAACUGGAGAGCCCCCAGAAACCACAGCAGCAUCCAAUGCAUCUGUUACACUUUUAUGCCAGCCAACC